Small nuclear RNA from Otolemur garnettii (small-eared galago), 151 nucleotides. Its record names the gene U1. It matches the Rfam family "U1 spliceosomal RNA". Rfam says of the family: U1 is a small nuclear RNA (snRNA) component of the spliceosome (involved in pre-mRNA splicing). The record is from Ensembl. Lineage: Eukaryota; Metazoa; Chordata; Mammalia; Primates; Galagidae.
AUACUUACCUGGCAGGGGAGAGACCAUGAUCGCAAAGGUGGUUUUCCCAGGGUAAGGCUUAUCCAUUGCACUUCGGAUGUGCUGACCCCUGUGAUUUCCCCCAAAUCACGAGUUUUGUAGUAAUAGGGGACUGGGUUCGCACUUUCCCCUG